UACGGAGGGUGCGAGCGUUGUUCGGAAUCACUGGGCGUAAAGGGCGUGUAGGCGGUCCGCUAAGUCUGAUGUGAAAGCCCGGGGCUCACCCCCGGAAGUGCAUUGGAAACUGGCGAACUCGAGUCCCGGAGAGGAGAGUGGAAUUCCUGGUGUAGCGGUGAAAUGCGUAGAUAUCAGGAGGAACACCGGUGGCGAAGGCGGCUCUCUGGACGGUGACUGACGCUGAGACGCGAAAGCGUGGGGAGCAAACAGG
RNAcentral lists this ribosomal RNA (253 nucleotides) under uncultured bacterium. RNAcentral's name for it is "partial 16S ribosomal RNA". It matches the Rfam family "Bacterial small subunit ribosomal RNA", at positions 524 to 776 of the family's 1533-position model. The record is from RNAcentral.